CCUAACACAUGCAAGUCGAACGGUAACAGGAAGAAGCUUGCUUCUUUGCUGACGAGUGGCGGACGGGUGAGUAAUGUCUGGGAAACUGCCUGAUGGAGGGGGAUAACUACUGGAAACGGUAGCUAAUACCGCAUAACGUCGCAAGACCAAAGAGGGGGACCUUCGGGCCUCUUGCCAUCGGAUGUGCCCAGAUGGGAUUAGCUAGUAGGUGGGGUAACGGCUCACCUAGGCGACGAUCCCUAGCUGGUCUGAGAGGAUGACCAGCCACACUGGAACUGAGACACGGUCCAGACUCCUACGGGAGGCAGCAGUGGGGAAUAUUGCACAAUGGGCGCAAGCCUGAUGCAGCCAUGCCGCGUGUAUGAAGAAGGCCUUCGGGUUGUAAAGUACUUUCAGCGGGGAGGAAGGGAGUAAAGUUAAUACCUUUGCUCAUUGACGUUACCCGCAGAAGAAGCACCGGCUAACUCCGUGCCAGCAGCCGCGGUAAUACGGAGGGUGCAAGCGUUAAUCGGAAUUACUGGGCGUAAAGCGCACGCAGGCGGUUUGUUAAGUCAGAUGUGAAAUCCCCGGGCUCAACCUGGGAACUGCAUCUGAUACUGGCAAGCUUGAGUCUCGUAGAGGGGGUAGAUUCCAGGUGUAGCGGUGAAAUG
This 650-nucleotide ribosomal RNA is filed under the name uncultured Pseudomonadota bacterium. RNAcentral's name for it is "bacterial SSU rRNA". It matches the Rfam family "Bacterial small subunit ribosomal RNA", at positions 47 to 688 of the family's 1533-position model. The record is from RNAcentral. Lineage: Bacteria; Pseudomonadati; Pseudomonadota.